AAGGAGAUGGAACCUUGCCCGCUCCCCACACUGCGUGAGUCCGAGUCACGGGACAAGUUUCUGUAAGGGAGCUAACGAGUCCUCGUAUUUGUGACUUUUUUUUCAUUGCUGUGACCAAAUACCUCACAGGGAUGAACUCAGAAGCAGGGGGAUUUCUUUGGACUCUGGGCUUGCACAGAAGUUCCCUACCUAAGGGAGGCUCAGAAUGAGACUUGCAGCCUCAGAGUCAAUGAGAAGAUAGACUCUGCACUUGGGGUACAUUCAUCCAUGUCCUCUUGAAACAGCUUCUCAAUCCUCCUGCCAUGUCUCUCUGCUCAGGAUGUUCCCGCCACUGAGCCUGAGCCUGGCAUCCAGGAAGCCCUAGCCAAGAGCCUAGCAGUGACCAUUUGUCUACCCAGUGGCGGAUCAGCCUGGAGGUGAAAUGAGGAGAGUCUUGGCUGUAGGCACGGUCCCAGCAUCAGUGGGGUCUUGGGAGACUUUGACCAUCAGUAGAGGAGGUUUGGGGGGACAAUAUUAUUAAACUAAAAUGACCUUUGCCAAGA
RNAcentral lists this long non-coding RNA (542 nucleotides) under Mus pahari (shrew mouse). RNAcentral describes it as "lncRNA (MGP_PahariEiJ_G0005300.1)". The record is from RNAcentral. Lineage: Eukaryota; Metazoa; Chordata; Mammalia; Rodentia; Muridae.